This 348-nucleotide unclassified non-coding RNA is filed under the name soil metagenome. RNAcentral's name for it is "partial contains 5.8S ribosomal RNA, internal transcribed spacer 2, and large subunit ribosomal RNA". The stretch from base 1 to 120 matches the Rfam family "5.8S ribosomal RNA", at positions 35 to 154 of the family's 154-position model. The record is from RNAcentral.
GAUGAAGAACGUAGCAAAAUGCGAUAAGUAAUGUGAAUUGCAGAAUUCAGUGAAUCAUCGAAUCUUUGAACGCACAUUGCGCCCGCUGGUAUUCCGGCGGGCAUGCCUGUUCGAGCGUCAUUUCAACCCUCAAGCCCCCCGGGUUUGGUGUUGGGGAUCGGCUCUGCCUCACGGCGGUGCCGCCCCCGAAAUACAUUGGCGGUCUCGCUGCAGCCUCCAUUGCGUAGUAGUAAAACCCUCGCAACUGGAACGCGGCGCGGCCAAGCCGUUAAACCCCCAACUUCUGAAUGUUGACCUCGGAUCAGGUAGGAAUACCCGCUGAACUUAAGCAUAUCAAUAAGCGGAGGA